This 213-nucleotide long non-coding RNA is filed under the name Brassica napus (rape). Its description in RNAcentral is "long non-coding RNA (BNAP_LNC019168)". The record is from RNAcentral. Lineage: Eukaryota; Viridiplantae; Streptophyta; Magnoliopsida; Brassicales; Brassicaceae.
GUUGUACCAUUGGAACAUUUGCGACAAUUAAGGAGAAGCAACGGUUGUUCUAGAGUGACUGGUCGGCGGCAAGCAGAUCCACGCGAUGAUGGUUAAAGACGGUUCUGUGUCAUGGAUUAGCGAUUCAUUUUUUGGUGUCGAAUCAUUUGAAUUGGGCUCGACGUUGAUCAGGAUUACCGAGAAGAUUGGAGAUUAGUGGAAACUAAAAGAGAA